Vicia faba (fava bean) is the source of this 186-nucleotide non-coding RNA. NCBI's taxonomy places the organism in Eukaryota, Viridiplantae, Streptophyta, Magnoliopsida, Fabales, Fabaceae. The record is from the annotation of a GenBank genome assembly.
AUGAUGAAUUUGGUGAUCAAGAAUAUAUUAGAGAGGAUGAAGAGUAUGAAGAGGAUGAAGAUGACGCUAAUGGCGAAGGAAAUGAUGAUAAAGACUUGGGUUUUAAUGAUUCUUGAACUUUCAUGUUUAGUUAUUUUAAGAUUUAGUUGCUUAAGUGUUUUUUUUUUAAUUUUAUUGCAAUUUUAA